AGCGAACGCUGGCGGCAUGCUUAACACAUGCAAGUCGCACGGAUCUUCCGGGAUCAGUGGCGGACGGGUGUGUCACGCGUCGGGAUCUAUCCAUGGGUGGGGGACAACUCCGGGACACUGGAGCUAAUACAGCAUGAUACCUGAGGGUCAAAGGUGCAAGUCGCCUGUGGAGGCACCUGCGUUCGAUUAGCUAGUGGGUGGGGUAAACGCCUACCACGGCGAUGAUCGAUAGCUGGUAUGGGAGACAGAGCCGACACACCGAGACUGAGCCACAGCGCAGAAUCCUACGGGAUGGAGCAGAGGGUGAUAUAGGACAACGGGCGAAAGGCUGAACGAGCUAGGGCUCGUGUGUCAAUAUGGUCGGCGGAUAGUAAAGCAGUUUCGAACGGGGCGAUUAUGACGGUACCCGUAGAAGAAGCCCCGGCUAACUUCGUG
RNAcentral lists this ribosomal RNA (435 nucleotides) under uncultured bacterium. RNAcentral describes it as "partial 16S ribosomal RNA". It matches the Rfam family "Bacterial small subunit ribosomal RNA", at positions 29 to 507 of the family's 1533-position model. The record is from RNAcentral.